Molecule: non-coding RNA, 308 nt
Organism: Lonchura striata (white-rumped munia)
Lineage: Eukaryota; Metazoa; Chordata; Aves; Passeriformes; Estrildidae
Source: RefSeq, a predicted model, not a curated record
CUCUGUGUGCCUUUAUUCUUGCUUAUUCUUGUGUUUCUGUCAGUUCCUGACUGUCCCUGUUACUGACCCCUGUUCUAUAUGUUCCCAGGACUGUGAAUCACAGUGGCACGGGCUUUGCUGCUCAGGGUAUCACUGUGCCGAGGCAAAUCAGCAGGUUUUGGAGUCACUGUCCCUCUGGCUGUGUGCUGAAUGUGAGCACUCAGAAAUCUAGUUCAAGUGUGCUGACCAGUGCAACAGUGGACUUCAGUGGACCUCAAAGGUAGGACAGAUGCAUCUGAGGGAAAAAAUAAAGAUUGCGGACAAAACUG